AACGAACGCUGGCGGCAUGCCUAACACAUGCAAGUAGAACGCGGAAUUCGGAUCUAGUGGCGCAGGGGUAAGUACCAAGUGGGAACUAGCGCUUAGGUAAGCAACCACUCAGCGGAGGAUGAGCAAUUACAACGAUAUCUAAUAGGGCAUAAGAUUUAUCGCUUCAUGACAGGCCCGCGUUGGAUUAGCUAGUAGGUCAGGUAGAGGCACACCAAGGCGACUAUCCAUAGCUGGUCUGAGAGGAUGACCAGCCACACUGGGAAUGAGACACGUCCCAGACUCCUACGGGUGGCAGCAGUGGUGAAUAUUGAACAAUGGGCGAAAGCCUGAGGCAGCCAUGCCGCGUGAAUGAUGAAGGCCUUAGGAUUGUAUAUCUCUUUUACCCGGGAUGAUAAUGACGGUACCUGGAGAAUAAGCUCCGGCUAACUCCGUG
This 433-nucleotide ribosomal RNA is filed under the name uncultured bacterium. RNAcentral describes it as "partial 16S ribosomal RNA". It matches the Rfam family "Bacterial small subunit ribosomal RNA", at positions 29 to 507 of the family's 1533-position model. The record is from RNAcentral.